Lolium perenne is the source of this 391-nucleotide non-coding RNA. NCBI's taxonomy places the organism in Eukaryota, Viridiplantae, Streptophyta, Magnoliopsida, Poales, Poaceae. The record is from RefSeq and is a predicted model, not a curated record.
AGCUAGAACUGGAUAGCAUAAAUAGAGAAGUUGUGAGAAAGGUGGAGAAAGAGCUGUGAGAAAAUGACCCUCGAGAUGUGAAGUGCAAGAAGAGGAGAAGUAGUAAACCACAAGGUACAAUUCUGAAUACUCAAGGUGAUGGUGAUCACUGAUGCCGCACCAUCUCAGUCGUCUGGGUUCAACUGAAGGUGAUGCUGAUCAGUUAUGAUGUUCACAGUCUAAACAUGGUGAUGAUUUGACAGUAUACAAACUGAGAAUGUCACAAUUUUUGUCUCCGUUUUGCUGAAUCAAAUUACUACAAACUGAGAGUCAUAAUUUCUGUCUCCGUUUUGCUCUGUGAGACAUAGUGAGAUAUUAUGUUGGACGCGAUAAAGUGUAUUGGAUUCUUGUA